RNAcentral lists this long non-coding RNA (7907 nucleotides) under Homo sapiens (human). Its description in RNAcentral is "HSALNT0307992". The record is from RNAcentral. Lineage: Eukaryota; Metazoa; Chordata; Mammalia; Primates; Hominidae.
GCCCAGUCUUGGGUAUGUCUUUAUCAGCAGUGUGAAAACAGACUAAUACAAGUGCAUUACUUCUAUGAGUAAGUAAGGAGGAAGCAGAUUGCCCCAACAAGAUGCCUCUUUUGUUCAAACCAGAGCUUGUUUAUCACAGAGAAAGAUGGCAAUAAUGUCCUGAGAAAUACGAAUGACCAAGGAACGCUAUCAUACUGUUUUGUGUGUGUGUGUGUGUGUGUGUGUGUGACUUCCCUGGAUGUGUGGAAGUUGACUUCCCUGGAUUAGCCAACCAUUUAUACUGAAAAUUAUGACACUGGUGGAAAAAGACAGGGCAGACUGUAUUUUCUUUUCCUUUCAGUCAUUUCUUAUCAGCAAGCAAAGGUAGGCAGAGUUGGUAGAAUGCGUGAGCAUCAUGAUGUGCAAUAAAAACAGUUAAAUUCGUUUUGUGUAAGUUUCCACUAUUCUUGUAAGAAUGAAAUACACAUGAAUGUAUAAGCUAUGAGAUACAAAUUGUGUAAUUUUGGUGAUUCUAUAUAAAAAUUAGAUGCUCUUAUAUUUGCAUCUAAACCUGGCAUAGUACAAUAUAAAAAUGAAUGGUAAAAUUAUGCUAAUUAUUUAAAAUUUUAACCUUUCUCUACUCAGAAUGACAAAGCAAGUAAAAAUCACCAUAGGAAGUCAAGAAAAAGACACCAACAGAAGAAAGAAAAAACCCUUUAAGGGAACUUCUUCCUGCUUUUUGAACUAGGGACUUCACAUAUUUCUUUUGCAUUGGGCCCCACAAAUAACAGGCCACAAUGAUGCUAUGUUGCUUCCAAGACUAGAUUAUAAAAAUAAUACUCUGGCAUCCACCUCUUCUCCCCCUCCCCCCACGUCCAUUCUCUACCUACCAUCUCUUUCUUAGGGGUUGGGGGAAGGGAGGGAAUUUCAGCCAUUUUGUCAAGACACCUUGGCCAACAACCACCAAGAGCCUGAGUAUUGCCAGCAGACGCAUGAGUGAGCUUGCAAGUGGAUCUUCCCCCUGCUGAGCCUUGAGAGAACUGCAGCCCUGGCUGACAUCUUGAUUGCAGUUGUAGGAGGAACCCUAAGUCAGAAGCACAGCUAAGCCACACCCAGAUUCCCAACCCACAUAAACUCUGAGGUAUAAACAUUGUUGUUUUAAGCUGCUAAAUUGUAGGAUGAUUUGUAAUGCAGCAAUAGAAAAGGAAUACAUUGAGAUUCAGUGGAAUGACAGCUUCCUCCCAAGGACUGAGGAAGAGUCCUCUGACCUAAAUCUUUUAGGAUGAGCAUUUCGUGAUGGAGGAAGUGGCAUCACAGGUAGAAGAUGCUACGUAAUCUAGGCCAGGACAACAUUUCCCAAACCACUUUCUCACAGAACCCCAUCAUAAUCUUAAAAAUUAUUGGAAGACCCCAAAGAGCUUUUAUUUAUGCAUUCUAUACAUAUUGAUAUUUAUCAUAUUAGAAAAUGCAAUUGAGGCAUUUAAAAUUUGUAUUUAUCGAUGGAUUUAGAAACAAUAACAUACCCAUUGCAUGUUGAGAUAGAUAACAUUUUUAAAAAAAUGAAUAUGCUUUCUAAAAAUAAAUUCAGUGAGAAGAAUGGCACUGUGUACAUUUUUGAAAACCCCUUUAAUCCUUGGCUUAAUACAACAAAGCUGGAUUCUAUACCUGCUUCUUCAUUGAAUCUGUUGAAGAGCACAUAUCAAGUAGCCUCUGGAAAACUCCACUGUGCAUUUGUGUAAGAAUGAGAAUAAAAAAGGCAAAUAAUAUCUUAGUCGCUGGACCACACAUUGAGACAAACCGAUCUAGGGCAUGGAGAUGAGAGAGUCCAGAGCACAUACUGACUAAACCAUGUUGAAGAAGGAAAAAUAAGGUUAUUCUCAGAAGGCUUGCAUAUCAUAGUCAAUAGUUUAUUCAGUAGAGGAUUUGGCAGACAUUAUUUGCUGCCCAUCCAAAAGCCAUUUCUGCUCCCUUUCUUCCUUGCUAAAGAAUCCUUGAAUCUGUUCAGAUAUUAGAAGGUCAUGAGUUGAGGGAAAGCAUGUUGAUUGGUGUUCCCUUUCCCAUGAUUGCUAUAAGCACACAUAUGUGACACAACCAUGGUGAUGAAAAGAAAUCAGCUGUGGUUGGUGGUGAUAGCAAAGUGUAAGCUUUCAUUGAUACAGAGGCUUACUCAUUUCUGCCUUUGGUUAUUGUGCUGCUUCUGCUUGCUGUAGCCUUCCUGUUUCAAUGAUGAGAAGGCCAAAGGAAUCUGUGAGCUGACCCAGAGCCCGCAUGUUGUUGACAAGCCACAGAGUUGCCCAACCUCUUUUAUUGUUAUUUUGAUUCAGGGAAUUCCUGAAGAUUCUGAAAUUGUGAACUGACAAGCCCAUGGAUGUCUACAAAGAGUGAACUGAUCACUGUGGGCUGGCCUUUGAGGCAUCAGUGAGGUGAUUAUUAAGAUAGUCAAGUUAAAGGUACUAUGGGUCUGAACUACACUGGUGUCAACAGAAACAAAAAGAAUACAGUAAAUGUGAAAGAACUGUGGAGAUAAAUUUUUAGGACUUAGCAGCUGAGUAGAUGGACAUUGGCAUGCACGGACAGGGGAACAGAAGGCAAGCAUCAGCAAUGGCAUGGUUAAUUCUUCGCCUGCAUGAUUAGAAGAAUAGAACAGAAAUACUGCAGGUUGGGCGGGGCGGGGAGUUGAUGGGUUAAAUUGGGACAUACAGAGUCAAGAAACAGAUACCUAAAAUAGAGUGCAUGUGGUUGGUGCUUACAUAAAUGUUUGCUGUGAUCUGGGACAGAAAUGAUCUGAUAGUCAUAGGGUUUGUUUCCUCAUCUCCUUCACAUUUUUACUAAAAUAUUGCUGCCUUAGGAAAGCCUUCCUUGGUCAUCCUAUCUGAAAUUGCAAUAUUCAUGACCUACUUCCUUAACACUCUUGUCCAAUAUAUCCUAAUAAGUCCUGUGUCACUUCUACACUAUUUUUUUACCUGAGCAUUUAUUUAUAUUAAACUACAUAUAUGCUUACUUAUUUAUCAUGUUUUCCUAAUAGAAGGUAAGCUCAAUAAUGGAACUUUUUAUCUGUUUUGCUCACUUUGUAGCUCCAGUGCCUGGGACAAUGCCUGACACUUAGCAGACAGUCAGUGAAUGUGUUAUAUAAAUGAAUGAAUACUUGGAGCGUGAGAAUCAGAGCGGCAAAAAUAUUUGUCCAUAAUAUGCCUAAAGAUAAAAACGGAAGCCUCAGAACUAGAUAAGUGCAUUGUAAUUGAAUGCUGAAUUCACAGAGAUAACAUCUGAGAUUUAUUAAGCAUCAAGUCAUGUCUUAAAAAUUUUAUAUACAUUUUAGGAUUUAACUCUUAUAAAAAUCCUGUGGGUAAGUACUGUUGUCUCUCCCACUUUACAGGUAGAGAGGCUGAGGUUCAGAGAGAUUAGGUAACUCAACUAAGGUCAAAAAGUUGGUCAGGGAGCUGGGCCUUUAUAUAAAACACCAAAAUGAGCCCUUGUGUAGAACCCUUGAGAGAGAUUUUAAUCUAAUGGCUGCAAUUUUAAAUUGUGUUCAGUUGUGGUAUGUAGUUUUUCAAGGAAGAUGACCCACAGCCUUUCUUGCUUUCUGGCUUUGGAAAAGGUAGAGAUGACCACUUAAACAUUCAAGGAAAAUAAUCCCUGACUUUGAAAUCAGAAGAUCAUUCAGAUAAUAUACUUACUUAUAAUCAUCCUCUCUAAUGUCUGACUAAAGCAAGAGUAAAAGAUUGACUGAACAGCAACAAAUACUUUAACAGUUAAAAAUAAAAUUGAUUGGUCUGUUGGAAACACAAAGCACUUUUAGCCCCAUUGGUUUUCUACCUGAAACCAGAGUGAAGUGACCUGAAGGAUCUCAUAAGAUAUAUAAGACCAGCAACUAUAGGAAAGAUGAUACUUUUCUUGAAGUCAUAUAUUGUCUAAGUUGAAGUUACAUGACUUAGAAGGUCAGAUGUGCCAUCUUUUCCCUUAAUGCCCCAGAGAUUCUCUUCACCAAGAAAAUGACUACAUACUUAUUUCAUUUAAAACAGACUCAGCCUAGUGAUGGUUUUCCUUCUUCUAUAAAAAAGCAGGCUAUUCAUGAAGAUAAGGACCCUUUUGGCUUUGCAACACGUUUUCAACAUUUUACUCAUGGACAUGAGAUGGUAAAACAAGAUGAAAAUGAUUCUUUUAUUGGGCAUUCAAUUAAAAAAUGUCAUGACUUUGCCAUUAGUUUGUAUAAAUCCUAGAAAUGAGUUUCAACGAGAGUGUGUUAUUAUGUUGGGAAAGAGACGGAAGUGUAUAACCUUGGGCAGAUCGUUUAACUUCUCUCUGCUUUACAGUUACAAGCGGUAAUACAAAGAGACAGGAUUAUAUGAUCUCCAAGGUCCCAUCCAGCCCAUUUAACACGGCAUUGUGGCUCUGGAGACCUGGAAGCACUGCUAACUGUUCUCUCGAUUUUCUGACGCUCGGCCACAUCAACCUGUCAUACUAGUUGUGAGGAGAAGUCAAGGACAGUGACACAGCCAGCCAGUCUGAGGCAUUUUCCAUCAUCCUGAAGGAGUUGCCCUAUCCUGCUUUUCACUGGAGGGGGCAUGGAUGGGGAUCCUGGAUGACAAAGCAGUCACCUACUUGAACACUGCUAAUUAUGAAGUCAGAAAGAGGAAAGUUUGCAGAGUUUUGUAUUGGCAAUCAAACAUUCAGCCACAGGUCACAGUCUAGAACCAGACACAUCAGUGUCCUCAACUGCAAAGUAGCCAGGAAGCAGCAUCCCAUAACACAGUCCUAUGUCCACUGUUUUGGAGGUAGGAAAUUGGAAAUAUUCAGUGAGUAGCACUGUGAGUAGGGCAGUAAUUUCAUUUUUUAAUUAAACAAAUGGAAGAUGGCAGCUCCUCAGUUUUUUCUUCUAUGGUUUAUUUCUGAUGUCUUAUCUUAAUUAAUAUAUCCUGAUAUCUAUUUCCCAUUACUUAGUCUGUCCUUUUUCCCAAUAUCCAGUUAUUUUCAGUAAAUAUUUUCUGUCAUUACACCCAGCAGUCUAACUUUUUGCGACUUCAGUGUCUAUUCUCAUUCCUCAGUCCCAAAUCCAUUUUCUUUAUUAGAUUUAUCUGAACUCCUGCAGCUCUUUCUGUCUGCAUCACACAACUUAACCUUUAAUUACUUGCCUACUGGGCAUUCUACUUGGUUCUGCCUUUUAUCAGCUGAAUCAGAACAUAACUUUCUCUCACCACCUCCCUCCCCUACUCCAAAUUGACUUUACCUCCUGAUCCCCUAUUUCCAAAGUGGUUCCAUUAUUCUUCUCAGUGCUCAGCCUUAACAUCUUCGUUUCUGUUUGACUUCUAAUCUCUGGCAUCUCAUAAUUGUGCAGUUACCAAACUCUCCCCCAUGAACUCGAUGUGCUCAUGUGGAUCAAAUGACACAGUAAAAGUGAAAGCACGUUGUAGACUCCAAAUACAAGAGGAUACUGCUCUCUAUUCCUUCAACUAUUUUUCAUUCCUUAUUUAUUUAUUCAUCAUUCAUUUAUUCAUGUAGUUACUCAAGACCUAAGUGUUUUCUUGGAACUGUGUUUGUUACUGAGGAAGCCACAAAUUAAAUAUAAGUCUGCUCUUCAAGAGGUUACAUUCCAGUUAAGGAGAUUGCAUAUCCAUAUUUCCAGAAGUACCAAUGUGAUUGAAGCAAGGGAAAUUGCUAUGGGAUAUCUGACCAACUGGAUAUUCUGCUGGAAGAGCAGAAUGCACUUCAAAGACUAGCCAAUAAAACUCUCAUGUAAGAUAUGUUUUUCUUUUUGUUUCUAUUUAACUAAUGAAUAGAACCUCAGUGAUUUAAGGAAAGGCAGGCCCAUGAUAUGGAAAGAGAAGGGGAUGAUGAUGAUAUUCUGGAAUGGUCGUGCAAGGCUUCAGGAGGAAGUGAGAGUGAUGAUUGAAUCAUAUAACUCCUGAAUAAAUAUCUGGAAUAAACAUCUCCAGAAUAAAACAUCUGGAGGAUUCUCAGUAUACUUAGAAUAAAAUUGAGCCUCCUCAUGAAGGCCUACUAGCACCUUCAUGAUCAAACCCCUUUUCAACUUUGACCUUCUUUCUUAUUUUAGGGGCUCCUGACACACUGACCUCUGUCAGUUCCUUCAGCACACCAGGCUAAUCCCCAGUCUUGCGCCUUUGGACCAGAGGUUUUCUUUGCUCAGAAUACUGUUUCAACAGAUCUUUGCAUAGCUGGCUCUCGCUAUUUGACUAAAAUGUCAAUCCUCAGAGAGGUACUCCUUAAAUAUCCAAUCUUAAGUAGCAUCCCUUUCUCCCAGGAUCCUGUUUUUCAGAACUCUGUUUUCUUUUUAAAACACUUGUUAUCUGAAAGGAUGUCGUCUGCUUGCUUGUUUGUUCAUUUCUUUAUUGUCUAUUCCAUCUCACCCCUUCUCAGGAUGUAAGCUGUUUAAAGGCAAGGACCUUAUCUGUGUUACAUGCUGUAUUCCCAGGGCUCAGACAGAGCAUGACCUAUCGUAUGUACUAAAUAAAUAUCUCCUCAUACUGUAAAGCUUUCCUGACUCUAAUCUCUCUUUUGGGGACCAUUACCAAGCCUCAUUACUGGCUUCUUUCUCUUUAAUGCCACUUUUACUAUAUAGCAAAUGUUCUGGCCAGUGGGAUGUUGCUAGAAGUGCAGAAUGCACUUCUAAGACUAGCCAAAAUAAAGAAAGAAAGAAAGAAAGAAAGAAAGAAAGAAAGAAAGAAAGAAAGAAAGAAAGAAAGAAAAACAGAAAACAGAAAAAAAAACCUCUCACUUAAGUUUUUUUUCUUUCUAUUAAAUUAAUGAAUAGAACCUCAGUGAGGUUCUAUUUCCUUAGAAAUAGAAGGAAUUUCUAAGGCAGGUCCUUCUGCCUUAGAAGGAAAGGCAGGUCCACGAUAUGGAAAGACCCUUGGCCCCUGCAGGACCUUGUAUUAGGCUGCCUGAUUGGCACCAUCUUCUCUGACCUAUGAUGAGAGUAACAAGUGUGUGUGUGUGUGUGUGUGUUUGUGCGUGUGUGAGAGAGAAAGAGAGAGAGGAGAGAAAGAGAGAGAAAGAGAGAGAGAGAGAGAGAGAGAGAGAGACCUCUGAGAAUUUGGCACUUAUCUGUUAUAGCAUUUGAUAUUGCUUACCCUAUCAUACAUGGCAACAAAAUCUUCCAUCAUUUGGCUACAUGCACUUUUCUAACUCUUCAAGUACUAUACACAUUCUCAACCAUAAACUGUUCUUUCUUUUGAAAGGACAGUUUUUCUGUCUUAAUUCUACCUUGACUUCUAUCCUAUAGCAUUCUGCAGUGAAAAGGACAUGGACCUUGGAAUUAAAUUUGAGAUUGAACUCAAGAUCCACCUCAACCUACCAACAUAUAUUCGGCAUGUUACCCACCUCUCUGAACCUUGCUUUCCUUCUUUGUACAGAUGGAGGAAAGUCACGACUAACCAUUCUGUUGUGAAAGAUUAAAUAAGAUGGUGCACAUGACUUCAUAUAUGUUCAUUAAUACAUUUCUUUCUGUUUCUUCAAGAAACUUCUUUCCCUUCUUUACACAUGUAAAAGUCCUUUGAGUCUUACAAGUUCUUCACUAUGCCCCAGGUUUUCUAGAGCACAUUUGGAAAGAAUGUUGACAGAACAGGUAAGAGUACGACCUCUGGGUUCAAAUUUUGGCUUUGACCUUUAAGAGCUAAGUAAACUUAGACAAGUUAUUUAACACCUUUGUACCUCAAGUUCAUCAUCUUUAAAACUGGAAUACUAAUAGUACAUAACUUGUACUGCUCUUUUGAAGGUUCAAUGAGUUAAGGAAUGCAAAGUCCUUAGAAGAGUGUAGUGCACAAAGUAAGCACUACAACAAUAAUACUUAGUUGUUAUUUUAAAUUUUUUUUUUAAACCUUUCAAACCUAACCAUCCCAACUCCUACUGACACUGCUCUUUUCUUUCUUUUUUUAUUUAUUUUUUUGAGGUGGGGUCUCACUCUGUUCUUA